AUGCGACCCCAGGAUG
This 16-nucleotide ribosomal RNA is filed under the name Laelia anceps subsp. dawsonii. RNAcentral's name for it is "partial 26S ribosomal RNA". The record is from RNAcentral. Lineage: Eukaryota; Viridiplantae; Streptophyta; Magnoliopsida; Asparagales; Orchidaceae.